GGGGGCAAAGAGGGGAGGCAGAGACCGACGAGUUAAGAAAACCCAAAUAAAGGCAAUAUUUCUGCUCCACCAAUCUCUCUUCUUUCUCUCUCCUCUUCCACGCUUUCUCUCUCCUCUUCUCUCUCUCCGGUCGAUCUCCGUCUCCAUCUAAAUUCUCCAUAAGCAACAAAGUUUUUUCAAUCUUCUGAAUUGCCUUUACUACGACAAACAGGAAAAAAAUCGUC
Molecule: long non-coding RNA, 224 nt
Organism: Solanum stenotomum
Lineage: Eukaryota; Viridiplantae; Streptophyta; Magnoliopsida; Solanales; Solanaceae
Exons: 3
Source: RefSeq, a predicted model, not a curated record